GUGUAUUGAUUUUGUGUAAUUGAUGGACGAUUAUUGUGUAAAUUGUUGUGGGCUGUUCAUGUAUGUAUUUAUCUAUGUUGAAUUGUUAAGAAUUGUUAUUGAAUUGAAGGAUGUGGGAUGUUAGCCUUGAAUGUGCAAAAUUGUGAAUUGGUCUUCAUGUUGAUUAUGGGCUUAUGCUUAGCUUAGUUUGUAUAGUUGAAUGUUGUUAUUAUCAUUGUUAUUGUAUUGUUAAUUGUUGGAAUAUGAGGAUGAUGAAGAUUGCCAUGGAAAGAGGGUAAGUUGAUCAAACUUGAUAAAUAUUGUAUAAUUGGCAUGGAAUUGAGUAUUGUG
RNAcentral lists this long non-coding RNA (330 nucleotides) under Solanum tuberosum (potato). RNAcentral describes it as "long non-coding RNA (STUB_LNC008039)". The record is from RNAcentral. Lineage: Eukaryota; Viridiplantae; Streptophyta; Magnoliopsida; Solanales; Solanaceae.